This 381-nucleotide ribosomal RNA is filed under the name Triticum aestivum (bread wheat). RNAcentral describes it as "partial small subunit ribosomal RNA". Lineage: Eukaryota; Viridiplantae; Streptophyta; Magnoliopsida; Poales; Poaceae. The record is from RNAcentral.
AUGUCCCAGAGUUCAUCGUCGGCGCGUCGCAUCCGGGCACCCCCACCCCCGCUGCCCUUGAUCAUGUGCCCAAGGUGCACCGGGACAAGGACUAGGUGGUUUGUGUCCGGGAUGGAACGCAACCCGGGCAUCCGUUUCUACAAGUGCCCGAACCAGUUGGACGGAGGCCCUUGCGAUUUUUGGCUGUGGGAGGACCAGUACGCGUUCUACAUAACUGGCGUUGGCAUCAACCUCCUCAUCGAGGCUGCCGGAGGUGGGAGCAACGUCAUGUUCGGGAUGGGACGCGCCAUGGAAGACAUACGCAUCGCAGCUAGGAACACCAUGAUGAUCUGUUUGCUAAUGCUGUUCGUGGUGCUUGCCAAGGGAGCCGGCUGGCAGUAA